RNAcentral lists this ribosomal RNA (517 nucleotides) under Bathythrix sp. BFS-2018. RNAcentral describes it as "partial 16S large subunit ribosomal RNA". The stretch from base 384 to 517 matches the Rfam family "Archaeal large subunit ribosomal RNA", at positions 2542 to 2675 of the family's 2987-position model. The record is from RNAcentral. Lineage: Eukaryota; Metazoa; Arthropoda; Insecta; Hymenoptera; Ichneumonidae.
AAACAUGUCUUUUUGAUUAUAAUAUAAAGUCCAAUCUGCUCCAUGAUAUUUUAAAUAGCUGCAGUAUAUUAACUGUACAAAGGUAGCAUAAUCAAUAGUUUUUUAAUUAAAAGCUGGAAUGAAUGAUUUGAUGAAAUAAUUAUUGUCUCAAUUUUAAUAAAAUUAAAAAUUUUUUUUUAGUAAAAAUACUAAAAUAAUUUUAAAAGACGAGAAGACCCUAUAGAUUUUUAUAAUUUUUUUUUAUUAAAUUGAUAUAUUUAAAUUUAAUUAUUAAAUUAUUUGAUUGGGGAAAUUUUUAAAUUUAUUAAAUUUUAAUUUUUUAAAAACAAUAAUUAUUGAAUAUUUGAUUUUAAUUUUUAGGUUAAAAGAAAAAAUACCUUAGGGAUAACAGCGUAAUUUUUUUAGAGAGUUCUUAUUAAUAAAAAAGUUUGCGACCUCGAUGUUGAAUUAAGAUAAAAUUUUACUGAAGAAAUUAAAAAUUUUUGGUCUGUUCGACCAUUAAAAUCUUACGUGAUCU